This 189-nucleotide ribosomal RNA is filed under the name uncultured bacterium. Its description in RNAcentral is "partial 16S ribosomal RNA". It matches the Rfam family "Bacterial small subunit ribosomal RNA", at positions 338 to 524 of the family's 1533-position model. The record is from RNAcentral.
CCUACGGGAGGCAGCAGUGAGGAAUAUUGGUCAAUGGGCGAGAGCCUGAACCAGCCAAGUAGCGUGAGGGACGACUGCCCUAUGGGUUGUAAACCUCUUUUGUUUGGGAAUAAAGUGGGCCACGCGUGGCUUUUUGUAUGUACCUUACGAAUAAGCAUCGGCUAAUUCCGUGCCAGCAGCCGCGGUAAU